Neopelma chrysocephalum (saffron-crested tyrant-manakin) is the source of this 5964-nucleotide long non-coding RNA. RefSeq lists it as uncharacterized. The record is from RefSeq and is a predicted model, not a curated record. The transcript is spliced from 5 exons. Lineage: Eukaryota; Metazoa; Chordata; Aves; Passeriformes; Pipridae.
GGAACGCAGCCUUCCCUGAACUCCGAGGAACUUUGGUCUUUUACGUGAAGAUGUUUACGGUCAAUUUACAUUUUGCUGCCAAAGCACUGAGCGCUGCUGGGUUCGUUUCCCCAGACCUCGCUAAUGAAAAGCCGCUUGACAUCCCACCUUCCCUGCGGUGGCAGGAGGCUCCCCUGAUGAAAACAAUACAGAGCCGCUUGCUCCUGUGCUCACUCUAAACCUAAACAAUAAAUACUAAACGCCUAAAUAUUUUGCUUGCCCUGUAGGUCGCAGCUCUUGGAUAACGCAACGUUAACACCUACGAAUUAAGGCAGAGUUAAAACAAAAGGCAAGCGGCGCAUAAGGAGGAAAGAAUUAACUUUUCGCAGGUUUAUGUACGGCCUGGUGUGGCAGAGUUUUUUGGGAUGUGCACUUCCAAGCUUCCCAUCCCGUGGAAGUGAAUCCAAGGCUCGGUGUGUCAGGAAGGAGAUGGUGGGUCGGCCCCUAAGUCAGAGGCUGCGUCAAAGACCUUCUCAGCCUGCAGCUUGACCAGAUAAAACAAAAACCCCAUCGUCUGGAGGAUUUGUGGGGCUGCCCCAACAUGCUGGUGGACAAACACAAAGGGAUAAAUGUCCUAGGACAGACCCAAACCGCAGUGACUGGAUAUGUGUACACAGUGGAGACAAAAGCCUGUGGAGGCGGCUCCAGCAGAUUAGGACUGGGUUUGAUCUAGUGAGGUUCCACAGCUCCAACAAACAGAAACUGUUUAUGAAAUGUCUCAGUCUGGAAAAGCAAAUCCGCCUUCUCCAGCGAGCCGUCAGCAGCGUUCCUCUGCCAAGCGCUAUUUCGAGGCACAGUCCCUGUCUGCUCUGCCAGCGACGACGGCCAACGCUUCCUUCAAGUUUAUUUGGAUGCCAAGCGCUCCAAGAUUCCCGUAAACACGCACGACUUUUCCUCAGGGUAAUUCCUGACAGGGGCCAGCACUCCUGUAGGUACCACCAGCUACACCUGAGCAUCCCUCCCAUCACAGGGUGAAUGACCCUGCUCACCGGCUGAUUUCUGGGGGGGACAAAAGCCAUUGUAGCUUCUGAAGUGGGAGCUGUGGAUCUGCUCCCGUUUGAAAAAUUGUUAAUUGUUAACAAUUGUGAGUGGAGCCAACUUCCAACUGGUUCCAUGCAGUGACAUCCUCCAGGUGAUAUUUACAGGAUGAGGCUCUCAGCUCCAGUCUCUGUUCUCCAAAUGCCCUGGGCAGUCACUCCUUUUAUUUCUCCCUGCAUUCUGAAGUGUAUUUUGCCACCACAGAAAUGGAAUAUGGCUGUUUGUCCUCCUCCAACAUAGUGGAACAUAAGUUCCAGUUUACCUAAAGGACAGAAAAGGUUCAUUUUGCAAGCACAGAGCAUGACAGCUCUAAAAAUACCAAUUCAGACACCUACUUGAACACAUACAUUCCUUUCCCUUUACUAAUUUAAACCUAAUAGAUCACACUGAAAAAUUAUCCUUCAAUACAUCACGUAACCUGAGGGGGGAAAUCUCUUAUCAGAGCAUGGCUCACUUCCUAAGCUGGGAGAGAAGGAUCCCUGCCUCAAUCUUUGUUCCUUGGUGAUUAACUCAUUUGUUGCAAACAGCUGAGUAAGAUCGAGAAAAAAACCCACCAAACCCCAAGGAUCCUUAUUGUAAGUGAUGGACUCCAGCUUUGGGAUUAAAAACAGGGAAAACGAGUCUGCUCCCUGUGCUGUCUGGACCUGGCAGAACAAUGGAGUGUUGUGGGCAAAGGAGGAGUCGUGGUGAGGUCAGGAAACAAAAUCUGUUGUUGUUUUCUUUUUUUUCACUUAUGCAAGGAAUAAUUUUCUUUCAAUGUGGCAUUUAUUUGGGAUCCAGUGCGAACGUGGGGGGGAAGGGAUGAGAAGUGUUUUCAGUAUUCUGAGGAAAGACAAUUUAUCUGUUCUGUAACAUGCUGUGCUUUAGAGAGCAGCAAGUCCUGCCUGACAUUCUUUGGGAACCUAAAGAUGCAUGUCCCAUUAAAUUGGGAUUAUUUUAACCAGCCUUGCUAAACUGUCUUUCCAGUGUGGCUUGGCAAAACUUGUCCUGGCAUGUCUGCACAGCAGUUCCUCGGGAAUAGUUCUGGAUGGCUAAAGGCUGUGUAUUGACUGGCAGGGGAUGAUAUCAGGGAUGCUGAUUGGGCCCUGUGGCAUGUGGAUUUCCACACCAAAAUAGGAUUACAACCUUCCUGAUUAAGGGACACAGAGUAAUUAACACUCCAGACACAAGCAGUCUGCCCCCUCUGCCCACCCAUGGAAGGAAAACAGGGGUCACUUGGAACAACAGUUCCCUUUAACCACUCAACCAAAGAGCUCCACACCAUUUAUGGCCACUAAUUAAUCCAAGUGCUCCACUGCUGCCCCAUUACCCCGGUAUGGAGGACAGCAGCAGUGCUGGCAACUGGAAGGCAGAAGUCACAGAGUUGCAUUUUUGUACCAAAAUGCACCUAUUAGAAAACAGGUACAGAGGCUCCACAGCUUUGUACAUGUACACACAAGUAUGUAUAUGCAUCUGAGAAAUGUUUUGAAGAUUCUGUUGCUUUUAGAAGCAGUGGGACCGGUGCCUGGGGAUACGAGCUAUCAAAAGCCUUUGCAUUGGCUUCCCCUCACCAGGCCCUUUGGGAAGGAACACUGGAAGAGAUGAAAUGUUUCAUAAAUCUGUCAGAACUUAAAACCUUGUUCCCCAGACAGCAGCCCCCGAAGGGAGGUGGCAUUUGAUCCUCCAGUAGCCAUAGGAGCAAUGUCCCCAAUGGUGCAGCUCCUGUCUGUCCAGAGGAGUGUAAUUCCACACCCCUCACCUCGUGCCCGUGGAGUCAGGCUCAGCAUUCAUAAAUAAAUGAAUUUAUUCAGAUUUAUUACCUGCCGCCCAUCAGAAAAAAGGAGAGACAGGCUUCCCACUAAAGGAAUAAUGUAAGUAGGAGGUUGGUGUUGGGGAAGAGGUUCACUGGCCACACAGACAAAUCCAGAGUCUGUUAGUCCCAGAGACCACACCCCAAGUUCCAAACAGCUCUUGUGAUAAGGAAGGGAGAGGGCAGAAAAAAGAAACUCAGCUUGUUUGCUGAGGAAACUUAGAGCAGAAAGUAUUUUGAGCUGACAAGACCCAAGCACAAAUCAAUGGAAACUUAAUAAGUUUAGGAUGGACUGUAAGUUUUCAUUUAAAUAAAUCUGCCAUGUACUGAUACCACAUACUUUGCUUACCGAAAGUAAAAGCUGCCUUAUUUAUAUAAAUACCUCUAUACCAGCACAGCUGCACCACAGUCCUGGGACAAGGCUCCCGAGAUGAGAUUACUAGAGGAGAGAAAUCCAAAAAUGUACUAGAAAAUGUCCUUAUUCCCAGUAGCUGGCAGAAAACUUGUGAAACGCAGCUAAAAAAUUCAAUCGCUUGUAGUGCUAAAUUCGUGAAGGAAAUUCUAAGUCUUCACUGACACAAAAGGAUUCUGUUCCAGAAAUAACACCAGGGACAGGCCCCUGUCUAUUAUUUCACAGUGUCGAGCAAGCCCAUGUAGGGUGUGCUGGGAAGCACAGAAUUCCAUGAUCCCUGAUACUGACAGAGAGCGAGGAAAAGUCUGGAGAGCGUGAGCUGGCUCUUUGGUGAGCCUGUGUUGUCACAAAGGCCUCUCUACACAGAGCUGGAAAGAUCUGGAGCAAAGAGCCAACAGUCCAGUGCAACCUAUAUUUUUAACAUCAUCCAGUCUCAUUUUGGAGGCUUUGAAAAGGGCUCUGGCAUGGGAAGAGGAAGGGGGGACGUCACCCCCAGAGCAGUGCAAACCCUCACGUACAGACAGCACCAAGGGGAAGGGACUCGUGGUGACUUCACCGGGGACAUGGCAAGAAUAUCUGCAGUUUUGUUGCUCAUGGGUUGUUGUUGUUGCCCCACCUUGUUGAAACUCUGCUCUCUGGGCACUGAGAAAAAGGGAGGAGGCAGGAAAGACUCCAAAUCUGUGACACACUUCAGAGCUUACCCAGUGACUGCAAUUAUUAUUCAUGAUUUCUCUAGGGGCUAAUACUACCAGAUGCACAAGCCCAUUUUCUUCAGCAUUUGAUCGGCAGCUGGAGCUGCAGCCCCAGUCCUGCUCCCCCUGACACUGUUGUGCAGCGAAGGGAAUCUCUGAGAAGCCAAGAGAAUGACAUCAAAUGGCGAUAAUUUGCCUUCAGUGCAAGUUAAAUUGUCUGAAAGGCAGCUGUGUGUUUCAAUAGCCUUGUGCUUGUCCAAGCAUGACCACAGAACCAGCAGUUUGCUCAGAGGUCUCCUUUAAUAACCAUUUGUUACUGGAAGACAAUACAAACACAGACUGUCACAGAUGGAAGGUUUUUUCCAACUGUAAAUGUAAGUAAUUGAGUCUAGAGAAGUGGUUAUUCCUACUCAAAUACUAGAAGCUGGAGUGCUGGAAUUCUUGUGGAGUCUGCUUAUCUUAUUCCUGUGCCAGUAAGGAAUAUUCCAUUUCCCCCCUUGCUUUCCAAAUGACUACCUUUAGUCAUUUCAUGUCCACUGGUGCAUAAUGUCCUUAUUUCCCCAUAAUUUACACUUUGUUGCACGAGAGGAAAAUUGCUCUGUGCUGGUGUGAACAGAGAUGUACAAAUUUCCACGCCCGGUCCCACAGAUGUUUUCCAAGGAACAGCUGCAAGAACAUUUCCAGCAUAGUUGUGUCUUAAGCUACCGUUUCCAGGCACGUUUCACUAACAUCCCCUUGACACUUGCCAGAAGAGAUAAUUCAGAUACACUUUCUCAGAUGUACCCUCAGUGAACAUGAUCCUGAUCCACAUGGAAAAGUGAAAAUCACUGUUACAGGGCGGCAAACGAUCCAUGGGAAAAGGCACGGCUACAAGGGGCACAGCAACACCACACAUUUGGCAAGGCUGUGAACUCCUGCGGUGCUGAUAUCAACUCCCUGGGACAUAAACUACCCACUUAUUAAUGAUGAUGUCUACAGUGGAGUGUAACCACAGUCAGCUGAUUAAAAGGAACGGACAAAAAGGAAGGAAUUUUGAUGUUCUGGAAGGGAAAAAUGGAAGAAAACCUGUAUAUUAAUUGACACCCCUGUGUCAUUCACGCUGCCAAUACUAAAAGGUAAAAUUGGGAAUGCUGUUGAGGAGGAGGCACAUCCCCAUCUGCUGCUGGUGCUCCUGCAUGCUGUGACAGCCUUUUCUGACUAAUCAUCUAUUUUCUAGGAAGAAUGCUGGAUUUACAGGCUGAACAAUCCCAAUGCACAUGGACACCUCCUAUCCAGCCUCAUAUCCACCAGCACCCCCAAGUCCUUCUUGUCAGGGCGAGAUCCCUUUUCCACAUUUCAGUUUUUGGCUGUGAACCCCUGCAACCAAAGUGUUCUUCCUUGGCUGACAUGGCCCUUGGGAGUCUUUCCACCGCUCCAAGACAUCCAGCUUUUGUCCAUGGCAUCAAGUCCCACACAAAACACCUGCCUGCCACUGGACAGUGGCUGUGCUCCAGGUGUGCCUCAUUGCACUCACCAAGGUCAUUUCUUUUCCCUAGGUUUAAUAUUGCCUCUUUCGGUCUCUCCCUGGACAAACACAUGGAAUUCUUGCUGGCUGCCUCUCUCUCUUUCCCAGCAGUGUCUCUCUAAAUCCCUUGGUUGUGGUGACUGCCACAAACUACCAGCGGGAUCUUGGAAAACUGCCACAGCUUUACAGACUUCUUAAACGCCGACUCUUAAGCAACGAGUCCCAGAAGAAUUAGAAUGGAAUUGUGAAAGCGAGAUAAAAAUUCUGGCGGGACUUGCCCUUCUCUGCACCUUCUGAGUUUGAAAAGUCAAGAUGAAAAUUAAUAAAAAUGGAAGGGAGCAGUACAUGGCAGGCUUGGAUUCCAAGAGCAGUUCACCCUAUGCAUAGAGCAGCAAAAAUAGCCUUUCAUUUCAGUCUUAUAAGCUACUAGGGAAAGGGUUAAAAAAAGCCUGUGACAGAUGAAUUUUUAGCAAACCGAUUCAGAGUUAAU